AUAUGUAUCAAUUUUAAAAGAUGAUUUGGUAUGUUUCGUAAUUGUUGUUCAUAUUCUUACGUUUUUAUUAGAAACUUUGCAUGAAAUAAUCCUUAAGUUUGAUACUAAAGACCUUUUUGUACUUAUCACUUUUGUAAAAAUGGUAAUUAAACAUAUUUAAAUGAUUGUGUUUUAACUUCCUCAAUGUAUAAACAUUGCUCAAAAAUGUUAGAAGGUGUUAAUAAAUCUAUAAACCACUUUUGACAGUUUUACCCUUUACUGUCCCUGUUUUUAGAAAACUCAUAGAAAAAUCAUCGUAAGUCAAAAACUGAAUCCGUCACCUCUGAGAGUUUAUAAAAUGAGUCUACUUUGUUCCUAAUUUUUAUUAUGAUUUUUAGUGGUCUCAAACUAGUGUGAAAAUGAACAUCUUCACAGACUGGUCCGAAAUCACUUCUGAAAUGACAGGCAGUUUUAUAAAAAUCGCCAUAAAUUGUAGAAAAAUCGUAUGAACGCGUGCGAGUAGUCAUUAGAAAGGUAUAAACUUGAACUAUUUGCAUAUUGUACAGUUUUGAAAGAUAUUAAGUUUAAGAUGGUCAAAACAGUCCGUGAACAGGACUCAACUUUUCUGUAGAAAGCUGUCAUUUAAAUUUAAGUUAUGUUUAGUGUUCUAACUUGUAUUCCCCCCCUUAAAACUUGAAUAAAACAUGAAAAUGUAGGGGUAUGAACUCACCUUAUGUGAAUACUUGAAGAAUGGAAGGUUGAAGAUGAACUUUUGGUUGUUGGUUUGAUGCUCCAAAACAGCCACUCUUUUGGCUUUGUUGCUGUCACGACAAUUUCACAGCAAAAGAGCAAGAAAAAGGGUAGUUUUUUACUCACUGUUUUGAAUCAAUAAUUUUGAGUAUCAUAACAAGUAACUUCCAGGGGUAUUUGGUGGUAAAAAUAUCAAGCAAAAGGAAGGUGUAGAUGGGUGAAAUGGUGGCUGAAACACAAAAGGGACAGCAACCCUUUAGUUCAUGGUUUUGAUGGCUUUGGAAGGAAGUUCUUGUGCUUGAAAAUGAGAUGAAGGUUGAGAGUAAUUACUUGGAGUAUUGGCUGGUCAAAUGAGGGUAAAAUGAAGAGGAAAUUUCGUGGUUAUGAAGGAGGAAAGGGUGGAAGAGGAUAAGGGGACAAAACCUAGACUAGCUUGUGAUGGGAUGUGAGUUUAAGUGAUGUGAUCUUGUCUAGCCACUUGCUUGGGUGGUUGCUUAGAGAUAGAGUUAGUUAACUAACUAACUACUAGUUAUUUAGUUAGUUAGGAGUUCUAGUUAAGGAGAGGGAAGGUCUUAAUCUCGAAAAUUAGAAGAGGGAUUAAGAAGCAUUCUUAGUAAAAUGUCUUAAGUGAUUAAGCACUUAUUAGUUAAGUUGGCACUUAUCUCCACCAAUUCUCUUAUCUUAAUUGAUUUAGACAUCAUAAAACUUACAUGAAAUCACUUUAAGUCAUGACCCAUAACUAGUCAUUCACUAGAUAAUAAUACAUAUAUACAAAUACAUACAUGUAUACUUAGUAUAAAAUAACAAUGUAGUUUUUGUGUAUUUGAACUUUAAUGUUUAUGUUUUAUUCUUUUUAUUCAAAAACACUUAAAUACAUUCUAAUUAUACCUUAUAAUAAUUCAUUUUAUAUUUUAAUUUAUUUAAAUAUAAAAUUUAUUGACCAAUGUAUAAUUUCGUGACAUUUAACCGGUUAACCAUAUCGUUAAACACGUUUUGUCACUUUGGUUCGUAUAUUUGUCAAAUUUAGAUCCUCCACAUCUAUUAAGCAAACGUUUUACAUAGAACCUAACUUACUUAUCAACUAGAGAAAUGUUGAUACAAAAAUUAAGUUUGUUGCGUUUAAAUGAUGUUAUAUGCUAAUUUCACAAACCGGUGAUGGUUCGUAGCCAUACAUCAUAACGAAAUUUAUCAAUAGCUACUUGUUUUAUAUUUCACAAUAACUUAUUUAAAUAAAAGAGGUUAAAUUCCUUCAACCAUUCUUGAUAAAAUACUCAUAUUGCUUAAUAAUCAAAACAUAGCAUCGUACAAUCGUUCAUAUUUUUACCAAUUGUUACAUUCUCCCCCUGUUAAAAGAAUUUCGCCCCGAAAUUCAACUUGUAGACGGGAUAUCACUAAAAAAUUGGGGGUGUUUUUUUUUUUUUGAUCCUCGCAUUCCUUAGUGAAUUUCGGUCCUCGCUUGGUGUUCCAACGAGCCGUCAUUAUGGGCAUGCGACUUUGUUUUGUCCUUUUGACCUUUUGAUCCAUGAUUUCCACCGGUUCUUCGAUGAAGUUUAGACUCCCGUUGAUUUCAAUUUCAUCCAGUGGAAUAACAAGAGUCUCAUCAUACACGCUCUUCUUCCGAACCUGGGAUGCCUUCAAUUGUUCACAGGUUUGAACAAUCCUCUCUAUAGUUUCUCGUAUGAUCUGGGGGCUGGUGAGAGUGUUGUUAGGAACUUGCCUGUUAGCUAUUUGCGUGUCACCUACCUCAUCCCAUCAAAGAGGUGAUCUACACUUGCUUCUGCAGAGAGCUUCGAAUGACGCGACUUUGAUGUUAAUGUAAUAGUUGAUGUUGUAUAAGGAUUCGAUGAAUGGCUCUUCCUCUUUGUCUUUCAGUUUGAGGGUGAUAAAAAGGACUUCUUUAACGAAUAUCGAAAACACGAGGCGAAUCACCUGUGCCUUAUCCAAAAUGAUAGAUAGUGGUAUACUCUGCAAUCUCGCAAUCUUCUUGUGAUAUGCUCCUAUCAGCUUUUCUAUUUUUCUUUGUAGCCUUGGUUGGUAGAAAGUGUGUGGGUUUGUUUGAUUUGUCUACGCUCGCUCAAGUGGUAGCGUGUCCAUCCGCUGUCUUGGGUAACUUGUCAUGGAGUUCAUGGUAUGACUCAUAACUGAUUCAUCUAUCAUCUCUUUGUAUUUAUAAGUCAUAUAUAAUUAAGAAUGAAAAGACAGUCGAAUCGGUGAUUCUAUUCUAAACCCACAUCCAAACAAGGAAAAGGAUUUAAAGCGAAAUUACCAACCCUAAGUCCGUAGAAUCUUAAUUAUAUAGGGCUCCAAUAUAUACACUUAGUAAUCAUAGAUUCACUAGUAUGGGUCCAUAGUCUCUACUUGAGUGGGGUGAUUAACUUGGGUGAGAUGGCAUUUACAACAACCCUUUUCCACAACUACUGCACUUAGGUUGAUUUUUGAACUCGGGUUGUCGUACGGAUGAUAUUCCCAGGAGAUCUUCUCGGAAUAUAUCGAGAAGGUUACGGGCUUUUUCAACAUCCAUGAUGUCUUUCUCUUCUUGUUUCUUAUCCACAGCACGGGCUAGGACGGCGUGGUACCUCCUGUGUAGCCAGGGGUGGCAAAUCGGACCAUCGUGACGUGUUUUUGUCUGACACGACAUGACACGACAAGGUUUUAUGUAACACGAACACGACACGACACGAUGUCUUGUUUUUUUUAACUAACGCGAAAACGAACCGAUUAAAACACGACAAACACGACACGACACGACAAAUAUAACAUAAUGAAAAAAUUAGUUUAUUUAAUUAAUAUUUAAUCAGAUCGGAAGAGCGNAUAACACGAAAACACGACAAAUAAAUGCUAAAUCGUGUCAAUUUCGUGUCAAAUUUUAAACACGAACAUGACACGACACGACAUCGUGUUAUUUACACUUAACACGAACACGACACGAACACGAAUUCGAAUUUCAGUUUUGUCCCAAUUUCGUUUCGUGUCGUGUUUUUUUGUCGUGUCGUGUCAACAAUUGCCACCCCUAUGUGUAGGUACUUCUGAGUCUUGUUGUAAAAGGUGCAUCGGGGGUUUGUGUCUUGUUUGUCGCCAUAGACAACGAGGGUUCUAUUACUCGAUGGGUUUAGGCGAAUGGCCUUUUCGUAAUAUAUGAUAUCGGUAUGGUGAGGAAACUAACUAAUACGUUGUUAAAAUGAAAAUGUCGUAAAUUUUUAUUGUGACCGGUUUUAGGAUGAUUUGAAUGAAUUGGUUGAUUUAGUGUUAGAGUGCACCCUAUGUACACGUCUCUAGUGCUUUUGAUUAUUCCAAUUCUACUGUAAAUAUUUCGUUUAAGUUUUUGAGGUUUUUGGUUGAGAAAUUGAUUAAAUCUACGACUCACAAUACUCCUCUCCGCGUUGCUAUUAUAUAGUAUCCAUGCAUAUGUGCUAUCGGGAAUGAACGUACCGGAAUCUCAGCAGGGUCUAUUACUGCUUUCCCACGCUCUGUUGCUAAAACACUUCCGAUGCUCCUGACAUCUUUGUUUUUAGUCUCCGGGAACUCCUUUAUGAAAUGCCCUACUUCUCCACAUCUGUAGCAAGUCCGACUCAUCCCAGCUUUUGUGUUCUGGUUGGUCUGUUGAGCCGGCACCCUACAGAACUUUGUGGUAUGCCCCUUUUUCAUUAUAGUUCUUGCAAUGCAUUUCCCUGCACUUUCCUUUGUGAUGAAAGCUACACUUGGUGCAUUUUGGAAGGUUUCCAACAUAUGGUCUUGUCGGCACUGAGGUAGUAGGGAUGGUGGUAUGAAAUGUCACUGUUUGUUGUCUUUUGGUAGGUCCUUGAUUCGAGGCAUCGUUGCAGGAACAUACUCGGGGUGUCCUUGGUUGUUAUUACGAUUGGAACUUUCGGCGUCGUUCCCACUUUUGUUUGUGUUGUUAGCGCCGAGGUGUGCCAUGACUGCUGCCACGGCAGCUGUUACCGCAAUUUGAAAUGUUGUAGGGUCUAUUUAUAGAACUAGUGUUGCACCAGUAUGCUGAUUACCUUCAUGUGUCGGCAUGAUUCUAUUUCGCGAGUGGCCUCCUCUGUUCUCAGUUCUGUGAUGACUGUCCAGGUUGUAGCUGUAAGGGUUCUUUGUCCUAUAACGACUAUCUCCUUUUCUAAGGAGUGUAGGUGAUCCGUAUUGUUCUCUUGAUCUGCUUGCCGGUCUAUGGGUGCUAUGGCCCGAAGUACGGUGCAGUGAGUUUAUGUCGGUUGUGGAUCAUCGGUUGUCCUCUCCAGUCUAUAUGUGUGGCUAGGUAGUUAAUUGCGGGUUGCUUCCUGAAAUGAGAGGUGGAGGUUCUCAUACUCCUCUUGAUAAGGUAAGGUUUAUUGAUGGUAUCUCCCGAACUUCUUUCUCCGUCUGGUCCCUUCUCGGAAAUCUUCUUCCUCGUAUUUCAUCUAUUGGUACUCUUCGAAAUCUUCUUCUGGAUCCUUCUUGAUCCAUCUAUUGGCUUCGGUGGCAGGAUAGUAGGGGUCUAUGUGGAGAUGAAGUCUAGCUGAUAUGCCUAUGCGAGAAUAGGGGUAAGAAGCAUAUGAAGAAUCUAAGUGUGUGGUUCUAUUGUAACGCAAAAUACUCCUAUAGUAUUUUAAAUUUGUAUGUUAAAGUUUUCUUUGUAUGGUUUGUUGGUAAGUUUUAGACUCGUCAUCCACUACGACCAUUCCUCGGCAUACGUUGGUCACCUCUUGGAUAAAUAUAGUUGAUCAGGCUAUAUUCAUCCCAGACAUGAUUACAUACCCCGAGGCUUACUCGCAGUGUUUAACUUAUCUUAAUACUUUUUGUUUUGUUGCCAAUAUGACUCCUUACUAGUAUGUUUGUAUGCACUUACAUUUUUCGUGAAAUCUCGGUCCAUUCGUGGUCCUUCUAUGGUUGCCUUGUGUAUACAGGUCAUAUACAGUCAGGAUUAAAUAGUCAGUCGAAUAAGUGAUCUUACCUUAUAUCCACAUCCAAACAAGGAAAAGGAAGUAAAGUGAAAAUCACAAAUUCUAAGUCUAUAAAACUUUUAGUAUAUACCACCUUAACGUAUACACUUAGCAAACAUAGACUUAACAGCAAAGGACCCCUAAUGUUCCUGUUUUGAAAUUGUUAAGUCAGAGAGUUUUAGUCCCUAUGUAUUUAUAGUUUGUAUAUCUUAUGUGGUUUGAUAUACUUAGCUCACUAUAAACAAUGCUCUGAUACCAAUCUGUCACACCCCCAAACCGGAACGGCGGAAACGUUCGGGGGCGGAUGACUUCAUGUGGUAACGUAACAAAUGAAUACAUAGUAAAGAAAGCAAUACAACCAUCAUAUAUAUAAUUGAAAGUUUACAUUGUUAAAAGGUACAUGUUCAAAACCAAUUACAAUAUGAUGCCAAAAUAUGAAUUUAAACUGGCGCCGCAGCGUCCCUUCUUCAAAAGCUGUUUGUUACCUGUAAUUACUGAAUCCCUGGGACAUACAAGUAGUUUUGAAAGAGUAGAUCAGCAUUUAAGCUGGUGAGUUUCAUAAGUAUUAAAUGACAAUGUUUGUAUGAAAUGAAAUGUUUUGUUGUUGUUUGUUUGUUCCUAGAAAAUCUUAUAUUUUCUACUAGCAUAAAUGUAGCUUUCUUUCAAGACCAAUGUUUGUUUCUAGAAAAUGUAUGUACGUAUAAAAUUUCCAAUACGUCUGAAAAACCCCGUAAAUCAAUGUGUUUUUAAUACUCCAUGUGAGUUUUAUAACCAUGCUAUUGACUAGAAAUGCCUAUACACAACGUUCUUCAGGCGUUGGAAUGUUCUGACGUUUGUCACCCCAAAUGGUGGACUGUAGCUAACAGUCAGGGCGCGGGUUGUCAAGCCCGUAUAGAUCUAUACACAAACACCAUGCUCCCCCUCCAAGGGAUUCUGGUAUAUAAUACAGGACUUGAANAUGAAAUGUGUACUCGAACGUAUGUGAAGUUAAUGUCUCAAAAAACUUAGUAUAAAAAAAACAGAUUUACGUGUGAAAAUGUUUGUAUAAAUGAUCAUCCCCUAAGACUGGGAUAGCUAUGAAAAACGACGUGAAAUCUUUAGAUAUGCAUUUGACAAUAUUUUACCCUUUGCUCAACAGGAUACAAAUGGAGUAGAGUUUCGUAAACUAUAUAUGUAUAUUUUUGAUGUAGAAGACAAGUUUGUAAACAAAACAUAUAUAUGCAUAUGGUUAUAUAUAUGUAUAAAUUUUAAAAGAUGAUUUGGUAUGUUUCGUAAUUGUUGUUCAUAUUCUUACGUUUUUAUUAGAAACUUUGCAUGAAAUAAUCCUUAAGUUUGAUACUAAAGACCUUUUUGUACUUAUCACUUUUGUAAAAAUGGUAAUUAAACAUAUUUAAAUGAUUGUGUUUUAACUUCCUUAAUGUAUAAACAUUGCUCAAAAAUGUUAGAAGGUGUUAAUAAAUCUAUAAACCACUUUUGACAGUUUUACCCUUUACUGUCCCUGUUUUUAGAAAACUCAUAGAAAAAUCAUCGUAAGUCAAAAACUGAAUCCGUCACCUCUGAGAGUUUAUAAAAUGAGUCUACUUUGUUCCUAAUUUUUAUUAUGAUUUUUAGUGGUCUCAAA
Molecule: long non-coding RNA, 7269 nt
Filed under: Lactuca sativa (garden lettuce)
Lineage: Eukaryota; Viridiplantae; Streptophyta; Magnoliopsida; Asterales; Asteraceae
Description: long non-coding RNA (LSAT_LNC009647)
Source: RNAcentral